AUUGAACGCUGGCGGCAUGCCUUACACAUGCAAGUCGAACGGCAGCGCGGGAGCUUGCUCCUGGCGGCGAGUGGCGAACGGGUGAGUAAUACAUCGGAACGUACCCAGAAGUGGGGGAUAACGUAGCGAAAGUUACGCUAAUACCGCAUAUUCUGUGAGCAGGCAAGUGGGGGAUCGCAAGACCGCACGCUUUUGGAGCGGCCGAUGUCGGAUUAGCUAGUUGGUGAGGUAAAGGCUCACCAAGGCGACGAUCCGUAGCGGGUCUGAGAGGAUGAUCCGCCACACUGGGACUGAGACACGGCCCAGACUCCUACGGGAGGCAGCAGUGGGGAAUUUUGGACAAUGGGGGCAACCCUGAUCCAGCCAUGCCGCGUGAGUGAAGAAGGCCUUCGGGUUGUAAAGCUCUUUCGCGAGGGAAGAAAGCGCACUGGUUAAUACCUGGUGUGGAUGACGGUACCUUGAUAAGAAGCACCGGCUAACUACGUGCCAGCCGCCGCAGUAA
This 502-nucleotide ribosomal RNA is filed under the name uncultured bacterium. Its description in RNAcentral is "partial 16S ribosomal RNA". It matches the Rfam family "Bacterial small subunit ribosomal RNA", at positions 30 to 523 of the family's 1533-position model. The record is from RNAcentral.